CCUACGGGUGGCUGCAGUGGGGAAUUUUGGACAAUGGGCGCAAGCCUGAUCCAGCCAUGCCGCGUGUGGGAAGAAGGCCUUCGGGUUGUAAACCACUUUUGUCAGGGAAGAAACGGCCUUUUCUAAUACAAAGGGCUAAUGACGGUACCUGAAGAAUAAGCACCGGCUAACUACGUGCCAGCAGCCGCGGUAAUACGUAGGGUGCAAGCGUUAAUCGAAAUUACUGGAGGUAACUCGUGCGCAGGCGGCUGAAAUCCCCGGGCUCAACCUGGGAACUGCAUUUGUGACUGCAUGGCUAGAGUGCGGCAGAGGGGGAUGGAAUUCCGCGUGUAGCAGUGAAAUGCGUAGAUAUGCGGAGGAACACCGAUGGCGAAGGCAAUCCCCUGGGCCUGCACUGACGCUCAUGCACGAAAGCGUGGGGAGCAAACAGGAUUAGAUACCCCGGUAGUC
Molecule: ribosomal RNA, 450 nt
Filed under: uncultured bacterium
Lineage: Bacteria
Description: partial 16S ribosomal RNA
Rfam family: Bacterial small subunit ribosomal RNA
Source: RNAcentral